Molecule: non-coding RNA, 60 nt
Organism: Salmo salar (Atlantic salmon)
Lineage: Eukaryota; Metazoa; Chordata; Actinopteri; Salmoniformes; Salmonidae
Source: Rfam
UGGCUCAGUUGGUAGAGCAUGGUGUUUGCAACGCCAGGGUUGUGGGGGUUCGAUUCCCAC